UGGCGGACGGGUGAGUAACGCGUGGGUAACCUGCCUUAUACAGGGGGAUAACACUUAGAAAUAGGUGCUAAUACCGCAUAAGCGCACAGCUUCGCAUGAAGCGGUGUGAAAAACUCUGGUGGUAUACGAUGGUUCCGCGUCUGAUUAGCUAGUUGGUGGGGUAAUGGCCUACCAAGGCAACGAUCAGUAGCCGGCCUGAGAGGGUGAACGGCCACAUUGGGACUGAGACACGGCCCAAACUCCUACGGGAGGCAGCAG
This 258-nucleotide ribosomal RNA is filed under the name uncultured bacterium. RNAcentral's name for it is "partial 16S ribosomal RNA". It matches the Rfam family "Bacterial small subunit ribosomal RNA", at positions 96 to 354 of the family's 1533-position model. The record is from RNAcentral.